RNAcentral lists this ribosomal RNA (164 nucleotides) under Plantago spinulosa. RNAcentral's name for it is "5.8S ribosomal RNA". It matches the Rfam family "5.8S ribosomal RNA". From Rfam's summary of the family: 5.8S ribosomal RNA (5.8S rRNA) is a component of the large subunit of the eukaryotic ribosome. It is transcribed by RNA polymerase I as part of the 45S precursor that also contains 18S and 28S rRNA. The record is from RNAcentral. Lineage: Eukaryota; Viridiplantae; Streptophyta; Magnoliopsida; Lamiales; Plantaginaceae.
UCAUAACGACUCUCGGCAACGGAUAUCUCGGCUCUCGCAUCGAUGAAGAACGUAGCGAAAUGCGAUACUUGGUGUGAAUUGCAGAAUCCCGUGAACCAUCGAGUCUUUGAACGCAAGUUGCGCCCGACGCCUUCGGGCUGAGGGCACGCCUGCCUGGGCGUCAC